This is a long non-coding RNA of Dicentrarchus labrax (European seabass), 2814 nucleotides long. RefSeq lists it as uncharacterized. The record is from RefSeq and is a predicted model, not a curated record. The transcript has 3 exons. NCBI's taxonomy places the organism in Eukaryota, Metazoa, Chordata, Actinopteri, Moronidae.
CCUGUGCCUUUUAUUAUACUUGAAGACUCAGCCUGAAGACUCAGCCUGAAGACUCAGCCUGGAUCGUGUGUGCUUUCCUCAAUCUUUUUCUGACGACCAUUAUACCAUGUGCACUCCAGAUGAGGCCUGUGCCUGUUCCGUUUGUUCCCGGGAGAUCUCUCAAGAGGGGAAGGAUGCGUGAGCACGGAAAACGAAUGGAAACGAGAGACAGAUCCUCCUGAUUAUCUUGCAGUCUCAAAAAUAUAUAAUGCCUCCCACCCACCAGAAGCCCUAAACAGGAAGCACUGGUUGGCAAACGGACAAGGCCGUUUCCGUAGUGACAAAGGGAGCGCAAAAGCCCUCCUUGCAGUGUCUGCUCCGGCUCACACUGUACCUUCUUAACUGGAUGAGACGGGAGGAGGAGCGGGGGAGCAGUGGGAUGGACAGGGACCUUUUUUAUUCUGUCCCAGAGGGAGGCAGAGAGAGCAGGCGGUGUGUGUGUGUGUGUGUGUGUGUGUGUGUGUGUGUGUGUGUGUGUGUGUUUUUUUUUCUUAAUUUAUCUCCAAACUGUGAAAGGCUUUAUUGAUGUUAUUGAUGUUGAGUUUACAAUUCUCCCAGGAGGACGGUGACAACUUAAUGGAGUUUGUUUAGGUCAUUUCAGCUUUCAAACUGUGGCGCUCAUCAUCUCAUACAUAGUGCUGUAAAACCUUGUCAGCAAUAAGUACAUGGCUGUGAUUUUUAUUGUGUUGUGAAUAUACAUAUGAUAUUUAGUUUUAAUAUAUACUGAUGCAAAAAUAUGCUGUAUUUUUAGUCUUUUUCACUGUAUACUCUCAGUAAUGGAGAGACUGGCUGAUCAUGACAUGACUGAAUUUUCCAGUCCAUGUGAUUUCAUUGUUUAUAGUGUGCUCUGUUGUCUGUGAGGAAUGUGUUGAGGAAAUAGGUUUCCAAUGACACAUACAGAGGGGGACAACCUUUACAUUACAUGCAACACACUUUGUUCAGCUUAGUAUUUCACUCCAAUUUAAACAAAUUUUUGGAAUUAAGAAUAAUUCUACCAAAUAAAUAGUCUCUCUAAAAACUGUGAACAGGACAUUGUUUCUUCAAAGACAUGUUGCUGUUGAAUGCAUGGGCGUAAGAGAGAAUUUUUAACCAACUCUUUAAAUGUGUCUUUGUUUUAGAUCUUAAAAAAAAUUGUCUCUGUUGCUAUCUGUAUACAAGUAUAUCCAUGUAUUCCAUUCUAUUCUAUCUAAUAUCUGUAACGCUUAAGAUAUAUCACUUAUUAUACACUAUGAUACCCCCUAUUUAGUAUUUAUAAGCACUACAUAAAUGUAACACACUAUAAUGUAGCUUUAAGCAGAUAUAAGGACAUUUUAAGAGUUUUACUAUAUUGUCAUUCAUUAUCUGUUUACAUACCAGCCUCCAUAUAUUGGAGCAGUUAUAGCUGUUGACAAAUAAACACUCAUAUCUGCCAACAACCAUGUUUAUUAAUGCUGAAUGUUAAUAGUUUAUAACAUGGCAGUAUAUUUCCAAAUGGUGAAUCCUCAGAUAUGUUUGUUCCUCUGCCACUAGAGGGCAAUACAAACACUUGAAACAGUGGCCUUCAACCCUGUGCUAAAACCAAACUUUUGACCUACUUUCAGUGUGGUUAUGCUUUGUCAGCGUAUCCCAACUAAUCAACUAAUGCUGAAGUCUUUCCUUCUAAUGAAGAACAGUGUAGUGUUCAACUUCACUUUCAGUAUGUGUUGUGUGACUGCUGAGAAAAAUGUUUGAGGGAUUAUGUUUUUUUCAGAAUCAGGUUUACCGCCAAGCAGGUUUUCACAUGCAAGAGUAUGGCCUUGGUAUAUUGGUGCAAUUAAACAUAGAACAAGGAAAAAUACAAAGAUGAAAACAGGUUCUGCAAGUCAAGAAGCAAUAAAGAAUACAAAAUUGACAAUAACAUGAAAAAUAUAAAGACAAUAAGAGACAACAUGUACAAUAUAACUUAUUUUAAAUAGAAGCUGUGUGUGCAGAAAUGUUUAAAAUAUUGUCCAGGGAAUGUGCAAAAUAUCACAGUAUUAAGACCGAUGAAUAUUUGCAAUGUAUAAUAUUUUUGUCAAGGUGAAGAAUAUUUAGUUUGAGGGUAGACUGAUUUCUCUUAGGAUAGUCUGGUUUCAGGAUCGAUAUGUUUCAAGGUUUCUUCCCCUGUAACUUUACAUAACUUUGACCACUUUCAAAAGGACUGUUGUACUGCAGCUAAAUCGAAUGAGACAAGACGUGCUUGAAUCCCUUUGUGGCCGGCUCACUUCAUGAAUGACCCCAAGGGGUUUUCCUUGGCAUUUCAGGCAACACUUCUUUAGAUCACAGUUUGAGGCUCUAUGGUCAUGUACACAUCUCCAGCAAUGCCCUUUCUCCUGGAUCCACUUUGUAACUGUAUCCUGUCAUAACUGACACAAAUCUGGACAGACAAUUAAAUGGUUGUCAGGGACACCACAAAAAGGACAUGUCUGAUAGUUAGAGAAGUCAAUAAGGAGCAGAUGCUGUACAUGAGAUGUACAAGCCAACGGCAUGUCCUUCACCAUUUUCCAAAGACUGCAGCCUACCUACAAGAGCUCGGACUCAGAUGGAAAAGUCUCCAAAGCUUCUGAAAUCACUAGGACAAACUGAGGGGAGAUUCAGAACUAGCUGCUGUGUCUUGCCAUACAUCUGCUACAAGGCUGACGUAGUUCUGGUGUGAGGAAGUUGGUGAAGUGCGUAGGCUAAAGCAAGGUGACAAGCUGUGUCCAAGUGGUCCAAUAAUACAUGAUGUUCAAACUGCUCGCUUUCAUCGUGAGGCAGAAGAUUUGUGAGAGCCACAUU